AUUAGUUGGGGGGCACAUUUGGCUUUCUCUGGUUGGUCUUGAGUUAGAAGCUGGGAUGAAAGUUGGUUAAGCUGUUGAUUAUUUAUCAAAUCUUGACCCCUUUGGGGGCUUAUUGUUACAAAAGUUAUUAUUUUGCUUCCUGUGUUAUUACUGGAGAUGGUAGUCUGACUUCCUAUGAGUCUGACUCACAGCAGCCCGGCUUCCUCAGCUGGUUAGUGUAUACAGGGGGCUGGUUUGUUGGCAGGUGGCUGCAAGUCAUGGGUUGGAGUUCUAUUUCUAUGUGUGGUCUGCCCAUGGUCCUCAUGCAUUCAGUCUCUCUAUGGGAGGAUAGGGACCCAGGUUUCAUUUUACCUACUAGUGGAAAGAAUAGGACAGUGUACCAUUUAGCCCCCAUGCCUACCAUGAAUGCUUCCCAGCAGGUCCUGACCAAGACCCCAGCUCAUGCCUUGCAUACUCAGACCUAAAUGCUGGUCCCUAUACCUCACACAGAUUGAACCCAUAACCUCUCUCCAGAAAAGUCUGAGUGAUCGUCCACCAUGAACUCAAACAGAUAUGUCCUGCACCUGUUUGCCAGGCUUUACUGGGCACUGGGUUCAUGAUCAGGCUAAGGAAAGAAAACCCCAUGGAAAUCAGACCACUGAAGGCAUUUUUGGGAGCUGGGAAGGCAGUCUUCGUUCUCACAUACACAUAAGGGAAUGCAAGGUUUCAUGUGAAAUUAUCACUCCAGUAGAGCCCAGUUCAUGGAUGGCUGGACUGUACUGAGGGCCUCUGGAGGUCAUUUAGCUUUAUCCACACCUCCUGCCAGGCCCCAGGAUUCCUGGAAAUGCAGAACGGGAGGCAGGGCAUGGAUGCACUUACUGUGCAGGUGCACCUGCCCAGGUGAGGAUGGAGAAACCAAAAGCCUCUCCAAGGCUGAAGUCCCCUCUUCCAACUGUCCUGGCUCUGUCCCCAGGGACUAAUUCUUCCCAGCUUGAUGUGGGGAUGAGGUGAGCCAGGUCCCCUCCUUUCCAAUGGUCUGUCUUCACCAAGGCAUUGACAAUAUGUCUGAAGGGCACAUUAGGCUCCAGAGAGGCGUUCCCAUGUCCCAUGCAUGCCCAGAGCUGCCUACUGGAGACCCCACAAGGUGGGGCAUCAUAGCCUGUGAGUGUGCUCAUGUGCAUGCACUCACGUAUUUGUGUGUGACUGUGUAUAUACAUAGAUGCAUGUAUGUGUGCAAGCAUGUGUGUGUUUGAUGUCUUUAGCAAUGAGGAGGGGAACACUACUCUCAUAGGUUCCAUCUGAAGUCAUGGCACAGACCGGUUCUCAAGUAGAAUUUGGCCUGCUGGGGUUGAGAACUCAUCCGGGCCUGGCUUCUACUGGCUGUGGCAUGGGGUGGAAGCUGUCAUUGUUACUCUAUUUGAGUCUUCAUCUCCAGCAAAAGAGUCUUUAGGGUCACACACUUAAUGUGAUUAUUCUGAAAUACUAAGUCAAGUGACUUAUCUUGUCAAAACCCCUGCUACCCACAGGUUACUGGAGAAAUGAGGCAGAUCCAUCUCUUGCUCUCCAUGAGACCCGAGAUGCACCCAUGCUGUUUCCACGGUUCAUGGUUCAGGGAGAUUUACAUUCAAGUCCUUUUAGGAAAUGUAAGUGGAAGCCAACCAUCUUGCUAAUAAUUUUGAAACUCAGAACCGCAGUUUAUCAAAGCGCCUGGUCCCUCACCUGGCAGGAGUGGUCUUCCAGGACUGGAGACACCAUCCAGCAUCCUGACAUGGAAGGCGGCUGAUGCUCUUAAACAAAGGACUCUUAAUAAAGAAGAUUUAUCAUUCCGAAGACUUCUGUUCCAACUGUCAGGCCCACCAUAGAAGGGGGGAGAGGUGGCUCUGGGUCUCUAAAGCUCUCGUUUCACAUGAAAUACAAAGAGAUAAUUAGAACUUUGGGUGAGCAGCUAAUAUGAUGACAUGAAGAGGAAGAGAGAGGAUGAACCAGGAGCAGACGGUUGGGGUCGGCCCUCAGUGUCAGGAGGCCGGGAACAGAGGAGGAAAGGGAGGGCCCUCACCUGCCUCCCUGCCACACCUGGAUGCCCUUGCAAGAGAGGAUGGGUAGGGAUUGGCCAGGGCAGGGGGAAGCUGUCCCCCCCAACAGUCAUAGUCCCCUCCCUAGAAACUGGUUCCUUUUGCGUGGAGUAACCUCCUUCCCUCCUUAGGGACCAAGUGCCAUAUGCUCUGCGACAUUCCUCAUUCUUCACAAACCAGACGUGUGUUUGUUGUCUGAUACCAAAUCCGAAUGGAGACUGGGCCAACCUGAAUAGAAGAGAUGGGCAAAGGCUGGCCGGCCUGAUGCUAGCGGGAGCGGGACCUUGUGCUCCUGGAUAAGGACAAGCUGCGGGUCAGGAGAUAGCUGGACACUCAUGCAGACUGAGUGGGGCUUGCAGGGAUGGCUUUGCCUCUGCCCUGCGGCAGCCCUGUCACUUGAACAGGGAUGCCAGCCUUGAGCUGACACAGUGCCGAGCCUCUGCUACAGGGUGAAAACAGUAACAAACUCAGUUCACCCGGAAUGAGGUGGGUCCUGGGAUGUGGGACUUCUGGUUUUAAACUGGGAAAAUCCUGAGUGAAUUGGGACGAGUCGGUCAUCACAGUGGUGGAGUGCAGAGGGCAGGGACCCUGGCAGCGUGUGUUCACAUGAGACCUGCGGCAGGUGCUGGCAUGUCCUAUGUGGA
Canis lupus familiaris (dog) is the source of this 2695-nucleotide long non-coding RNA. RefSeq lists it as uncharacterized. The transcript has 3 exons. NCBI's taxonomy places the organism in Eukaryota, Metazoa, Chordata, Mammalia, Carnivora, Canidae. The record is from RefSeq and is a predicted model, not a curated record.